UUGACGCUCCUUUACACCUAGAUAGAAGUCCAUCAUAACCCAACAAACACACAAGCCUCGUCAGUCACUCGUCUCCUAUUAAAAAUGCAAUCCGCACCAACCUGAACCGACAAGAGAACACUGCUACUACCACAAUAGGAAAAGGAGACUGCACCUGAAGUCCAAGCUCCGUCUCGCCGUACUAGAUCUGAACCAAGACUCCAAAUCGACUCUGAAGACACCAAGAGAUAUCACCGGCGUUCAAAACAAAUCUUUUCACCCCUCCUCACCUUAAAUCACGAUGGUAAUGCCCAGAAAAACUGCAC
RNAcentral lists this long non-coding RNA (305 nucleotides) under Brassica napus (rape). RNAcentral describes it as "long non-coding RNA (BNAP_LNC012879)". Lineage: Eukaryota; Viridiplantae; Streptophyta; Magnoliopsida; Brassicales; Brassicaceae. The record is from RNAcentral.